UACAGACUCCUGCUGGCGCCUGACAUGCUUCCUGCCCCUUUUAAGAUAAAACUGACUCAAAAACAGAGACGAUGAGGUGACAGCCUUGCAACAAGUCACAGUGAACUUUAUUAAACAGAACUCCUGUUGGGGAUUGAAAAGGUAAACAACUUGCAGACAUCUCCCAGGACUUGGGUUUUGUGCACCCCAGUCAGACCACCAUGCUCAGAGGAGGGUGUGCGCGCCACCCUCCACCGGGAGGCGUGCUCACGGAGAAACCUGCAUGCGCUCAGCAAGGCCGUGGAAGAACCCCGGGCGGGCCGCGGGAAAACCCCGCGUGUUUCCCCGGUGGGUCUAGUGCUCUGAGCCAGGAGUGUUCCCGUAGGGAGCCUUCAGGCCCUCCGCUGAGAAGGCCGCAGCUGAACGCGGGGGCGCGGCGCGAACCUAGGGAGACAGCCCGCUCGCAGCUCCGGUGGCCUGUGGGACAGGACGGCUGCGAGGCACCCACCCCGCGGGGCGUGCGCGGCCGAACGCUGGGUGCGGGCUGGGGGUGCACAGUACACCGGCGGCGGAAAGCAGGCGCAGCUCCGCGGCCCCGGGACCCUGAAGCCCAGUCCUUCCGGCCGCGGAUUCCCGCUUCGCCUCCUGCACCGCGUGCACGCGCGCCGCACGCCCAGAGAGCGGGCUUCGGGCGCGCGGACCGGCUGCUUCAGCGGCUCCCAGAGUGCCCUGCGGCGGACCGCUGGGGCUGCGCACAAGCGCGCGGGGCGGGGCCAACGGCCGUGCGGUUAGAGCGGGACCUGCGUGCGGCUGCUCUGCCUGAAGGAGCUUAAGUCUCGUGAAGAAGACAGCUAAACAUGGCCACAACGAUCAGAACGCAGAAAAGGGGCACUUAAUCAGACCUGAGAGAAGAGGAUGGUGGAGGCUUCUUUCAAGGAUGGCACUGUGGAGGGGAACCUGAACAAUGAGCAUGAACAAGGUCAGGGAUGCUGCACGGAGAGGGGAGUGUGGGAUUGAUGCCCGCGCCCUCCGUCGUUGGGGGCAGGGACCGCUCCCAACCAACGUCGCACAUGCUCGUCCCGCCGGCCAGGGCCGCCCGCUUCUGGUGCCCACCAUGCUUCUCUCCAACAGUGUGCAGCCACCUGCAGCAGAGGAAGCAUUCUGCUUGUGCCCGCCCGCCGGUGUCUCCACUCCGCUGCCAAGGCCUCCCGCUGAAGCCGCUGUCGCUUGCCAAAGCCCUGCGCUGCCUGCCGGUGCCCUCCAACAGCGACCGCCCGCGGCCUCCUCCCGCCGGCUCCAGGGGCCCCCCUUGCCAGGGACCCCCCUCGCCAGGGACCCCCCUCGCCAGGGACCCGGCACCCUCUUCCUCACGCAGGCCUGUGCUCCUCGCAGGGGCAGCUCAUGCGCAACCACCGACCCCGGAGCCCUCCUGCCUGUCCCCGCCAGCUGGUGCCUCCCGCUGACACCUGCCCCGGACGCCUGCUGCCACCACCGCCCUCCAGUGCCUUCUUCCCGCUGAUGCUGACCUUCACUGACGCCCAGGGCUCCCCGCUGCUAGAGGCCCUCAGACUCCUGCCUCUGCCAACAGAGGCCCUCUUGCCAGGGACCCAGCAGGCCUCGCCAACUUUCAGCAGCUUCAGCUCAUAG
Molecule: non-coding RNA, 1626 nt
Organism: Manis javanica (Malayan pangolin)
Lineage: Eukaryota; Metazoa; Chordata; Mammalia; Pholidota; Manidae
Source: RefSeq, a predicted model, not a curated record